RNAcentral lists this long non-coding RNA (200 nucleotides) under Elaeis guineensis (African oil palm). RNAcentral describes it as "long non-coding RNA (EGUI_LNC061259)". Lineage: Eukaryota; Viridiplantae; Streptophyta; Magnoliopsida; Arecales; Arecaceae. The record is from RNAcentral.
AGUGGUAAGGAGCAUAGAGAUAAGAUAUUCAUGCUCAUGACCAAGACCUAGCAAGAUUUGGUGUAAAUCGGUAGGUGACUCCUUUGUAUUAAUGGUAGUCAAGUUAUUUAAUAUCUUAUUUGUCUCUUGUAAAUAAUCCUCUAAAGAGAGCACAAAAAUCCGUCAUAAAAAUAUUGUAAUAUGCUUCAAUCUGGAUGGUA